This 77-nucleotide transfer RNA is filed under the name Maribacter sp. RNAcentral's name for it is "tRNA-Arg". It matches the Rfam family "tRNA". Rfam says of the family: Transfer RNA (tRNA) molecules are approximately 80 nucleotides in length. Their secondary structure includes four short double-helical elements and three loops (D, anti-codon, and T loops). The record is from RNAcentral. Lineage: Bacteria; Pseudomonadati; Bacteroidota; Flavobacteriia; Flavobacteriales; Flavobacteriaceae.
GGUGGUGUAGCAUAACUGGAUAAUGCACCAGUCUUCUAAACUGGCGAUUGUAGGUUCAAGUCCUACCACCAUCACUA